Molecule: ribosomal RNA, 391 nt
Filed under: uncultured bacterium
Lineage: Bacteria
Description: bacterial SSU rRNA
Rfam family: Bacterial small subunit ribosomal RNA
Source: RNAcentral
GACGAACGCUGGCGGCGUGCUUAACACAUGCAAGUCGAGCGGUAAGGCCCUUUCGGGGGUACACGAGCGGCGAACGGGUGAGUAACACGUGGGUGACCUGCCCUCAGCUCUGGGAUAAGCCUGGGAAACUGGGUCUAAUACUGGAUAUGACUCCACGGUGCAUGUCGUGGGGUGGAAAGCCUUGUGCGGCUGAGGAUGGGCCCGCGGCCUAUCAGCUUGUUGGGGGGUGAUGGCCUACCAAGGCGACGACGGGUAGCCGGCCUGAGAGGGCGACCGGCCACACUGGGACUGAGACACGGCCCAGACUCCUACGGGAGGCAGCAGUGGGGAAUCUUGCGCAAUGGGCGAAAGCCUGACGCAGCGACGCCGCGUGAGGGAUGACGGCCUGGUU